CUCGUGCUAUCGUCUAGUGUUUGACGUGCGCUCAGAAGGGAGCUUGCUCCCGUAAUGUUAGCGGCGGACGGGUGAGUAACACGUGGGUAACCUGCCUGUAAGACUGGGAUAACUCCGGGAAACCGGAGCUAAUACCGGAUAGUUCCUUGAACCGCAUGGUUCAAGGAUGAAAGACGGUUUCGGCUGUCACUUACAGAUGGACCCGCGGCGCAUUAGCUAGUUGGUGGGGUAAUGGCUCACCAAGGCGACGAUGCGUAGCCGACCUGAGAGGGUGAUCGGCCACACUGGGACUGAGACACGGCCCAGACUCCUACGGGAGGCAGCAGUAGGGAAUCUUCCGCAAUGGACGAAAGUCUGACGGAGCAACGCCGCGUGAGUGAUGAAGGUUUUCGGAUCGUAAAGCUCUGUUGUUAGGGAAGAACAAGUGCGAGAGUAACUGCUCGCACCUUGACGGUACCUAACCAGAAAGCCACGGCUAAC
Molecule: ribosomal RNA, 480 nt
Filed under: Bacillus safensis
Lineage: Bacteria; Bacillati; Bacillota; Bacilli; Caryophanales; Bacillaceae
Description: bacterial SSU rRNA
Rfam family: Bacterial small subunit ribosomal RNA
Source: RNAcentral